UUCUGAAUUUUUAUCAGGUGAUGCCUUCAUGUAAAAUUUUGCAGAACAUAGUUUGGGUUCUUCUAACACGUUCGGCAGUUUUUUCGUAAGAUUGUAUGGUUCAUCGAAUUGGAGCUUUUGACCUUAUAUUUUUGAUGCAGUACAUUACAAUUUUGCAGAACAUAGUCUGGUCACAGGAAUAAUCUCUUCUCACAGGAAUAGUGUCAUGAUUUGCACGCGCAUGGUUUUCGAUUUGCAUUGUUUGAUAUAUAUGAAGGGGGAUUUUAUACCUACGAUUUUUUGACACUUCCUUUUAUUGACACUUCUGGGAUUUACAAAUCUAAGAUUCAUUUUUUCCUUCUGCAGAUUAAUAUCUUUGAGUGUCAUUUCCCAGUAUGCUAGUGGUAAAACAUUGGGUUUUACGAUUGUCUUGGUUUUCCAACACUCCUAUUAUUUUCCGACCCAUAGGAGCAGCUAUAUGAAUGUUAAGGACAGAACAAGUUCUUCAUAAGGGAGAUUUUGAUCAAUCUGUUUCCCUGUUAAAUUCCUUUACGUGAUUUUUUAAUAUUAGCCUGUUAUAGCCUUAAUAAUUUCAAAUUUAGGAUGCAAGGAUCAAUAUUCCUCAGCCCCACACGAGGUGGUUUUGGAAUUGGAAUGUUUUGGCCGGCUGAGUUCUAAAUCUAUUAUUUUCAGAUGAACCGUGUUUCAUCAUCUCUAAGGAGAAGCGAUUUUGAACUCUCAUUGACUUAUUCACUAAUAUGUCUGUCAUUUUAAUACCAUUUUGGCUGUCCUAAAUCCAAAAUAUGAUUUGCCCAUGCAGAUAAAUACGACAAGCGAUUCCUUUUCCUUGAGUCUUUGCUGUAAAAAGGCGGUUUUAUUUUUCCAUAUAACUUUUAAGCCUUUUCUAUUGCCCUUUCCAUGUUACUAGUUCUGUAUUUUAUGAUUUUGCAGAAAAUCCAAGGCCUUUAUGAAGUUACUUUCAGAGCCUUGCUAGAUCAAAAGUGGAAGUACCACAUUACAUUCAAAAAGGGUUUUUUCAAUCAAUUUUUCCCUGUUUGAUAAUUUAGAGUAGUCUACAACAAUGGAUUUACCAUAAUCGUUUUGAUAUCUAGAAUCUAAAGACCUGGUUUCUUCAAAUCCCAAUACAUUUUGGACGUGGGACGGUAACUCUAAGUAUUUUCUUACAAUCUUGUGCUGUCGUUUUCCUCUGGCCAUGGUUUCUGAAUUUUUAUCAGGUGAUGCCUUCAUGUAAAAUUUUGCAGAACAUAGUUUGGGUUCUUCUAACACGUUCGGCAGUUUUUUCGUAAGAUUGUAUGGUUCAUCGAAUUGGAGCUUUUCACCUUAUAUUUUUGAUGCAGUACAUUACAAUUUUGCAGAACAUAGUCUGGUCACAGGAAUAAUCUCUUCUCACAGGAAUAGUGUCAUGAUUUGCACGCGCCCAUGGUUUUCGACUUGCAUCGUUUGAUAUAUAUGAAGGGGGAUUUUAUACCUACG
RNAcentral lists this long non-coding RNA (1473 nucleotides) under Zostera marina. RNAcentral describes it as "long non-coding RNA (ZMAR_LNC001424)". The record is from RNAcentral. Lineage: Eukaryota; Viridiplantae; Streptophyta; Magnoliopsida; Alismatales; Zosteraceae.